RNAcentral lists this ribosomal RNA (484 nucleotides) under uncultured bacterium. Its description in RNAcentral is "partial 16S ribosomal RNA". It matches the Rfam family "Bacterial small subunit ribosomal RNA", at positions 30 to 507 of the family's 1533-position model. The record is from RNAcentral.
AUUGAACGCUGGCGGCAGGCCUAACACAUGCAAGUCGAGCGGAUGAAGGGAGCUUGCUCCUGGAUUCAGCGGCGGACGGGUGAGUAAUGCCUAGGAAUCUGCCUGGUAGUGGGGGAUAACGUCCGGAAACGGGCGCUAAUACCGCAUACGUCCUGAGGGAGAAAGUGGGGGAUCUUCGGACCUCACGCUAUCAGAUGAGCCUAGGUCGGAUUAGCUAGUUGGUGGGGUAAAGGCCUACCAAGGCGACGAUCCGUAACUGGUCUGAGAGGAUGAUCAGUCACGCUGGAACUUAGACACGGUCCAGACUCCUACGGGAGGCAGCAGUGGGGAAUAUUGGACAAUGGGCGAAAGCCUGAUCCAGCCAUGCCGCGUGUGUGAAGAAGGUCUUCGGAUUGUAAAGCGCUUUAAGUUGGGAGGAAGGGCAGUAAGUUAAUACCUUGCUGUUUUGACGUUACCAACAGAAUAAGCACCGGCUAACUUCGUG